UGGGGAAUAUUGGACAAUGGGGGCAACCCUGAUCCAGCAAUGCCGCGUGUGUGAAGAAGGCCUGAGGGUUGUAAAGCACUUUUGUAGAGGAGGAUGGUAGACCAGGUUAAGAGCUAGGUUUAUUGACGUUACUCUAAGAAUAAGCACCGGCUAACUCCGUGCCAGCAGCCGCGGUAAUACGGAGGGUGCAAGCGUUAAUCGGAAUUACUGGGCGUAAAGGGUGCGUAGGCGGUUGAGUAAGUUAUCUGUGAAAUCCCUGGGCUUAACCUGGGUAGGAAAGAUAAUACUGCUUGACUAGAGUGUGGUAGAGGAUAGUGGAAUUUCCGGUGUAGCGGUGAAAUGCGUAGAGAUCGGAAGGAACACCAGUGGCGAAGGCGGCUAUCUGGACCAACACUGACGCUGAGGCACGAAAGCGUGGGGAGCAAACAGG
RNAcentral lists this ribosomal RNA (430 nucleotides) under uncultured bacterium. Its description in RNAcentral is "bacterial SSU rRNA". It matches the Rfam family "Bacterial small subunit ribosomal RNA", at positions 355 to 776 of the family's 1533-position model. The record is from RNAcentral.